GAUAACCUUGAUGGACUAUUAUUUUUUAAUACUAUCAGCCUGUACUCAUGAAAAUACACUACAAGGAAAAAUAAUCACCUACAAGUUGUCCCUACAUAAGGUACUCUUUUGGCCAUUCCACUACAAAUUAGUUACUCUUUCAGCAAUUUCAAUACAAGUUAGUGUGUUUUGCCCAAUAUUAUGUACCUAGAACAGUACACACCCUAUCGAUUUGCAACCAUCCAUUUCCGGGUCUAGAGUUUGAACCAUCUCUUUUUGUUCAUUAUCCCAAAAAAUAUUUACUCAUCGUUGAACAAUAACAUAAUGCCUGCCAUAGUAAGAAUUUGAACAACAAUGUGCAUGUUCUUGAUGAUGAUCCCAUGAUAAGUUAGCAUCAUCUUUUUUGAAUUGGCAGGUAAGGUCCUACCGACGACAAUAUUUGACUUCGUUGUAUUUUUGUUCCUCUCACGGGACAUCAUACCAGAGUUGAAACCGAACUGAAGGUACAAGGCAUGGCCUGGUAGACAACCUACUUCUUUUUUUUUGGUUGGAUUUCAGAAACUGCGGGCCUAUAUUGUGUGCUGCAUGUAUUAAUUCCACUAUUUAGUUUCACAUGAAAGAAUCUUAGUAUAAUUAAAAUCAACUAGGUAUUCCAACUCCAUGCAGGGGGACGCCAUGGAGCAAGUCGAGUUCGUGGAGCAAGUCAUGGACGAUGCCAAGGAAGGUAUACUCUCUCCCUCUCCUUACCGUGCUACUUCUCGUUGUGUCCAUGGCCAUUGAGUUGUGCUAGGUUCUGUGCUGCUGUCGACGCACAUUUAUAAGAUUUGGGGCUGUAGGUUUCAGUGGAUUUAUUUAGAAAUAAAUAGAUAUGUUGGUUCACAGAAAACAGUUUUACUGUAGAUGUAAAGAAUUAGCAAUGGAUCUCUAGGCUGGUGAUGACCAUGUAAAUUCAUUUCAGUGGAUUUGGGGCUGUAGGUUUGUUUCAAAGCGUGGUGAGCACUUACAAGUUUCCCUAUUUCCUGUUGGAUGACUGAAACCAACUAGAAAUAGAUGUUUUGGUUCAGUUUCAGAUGACAAACCGUUUUGGUCCAGUUUGCUAACAAACUGGAGAUGAAAAGAGAAGUGGUACUGUCAAUCACAUUGCCCUAUGCACAUCAGCACUUAGGCUAAUGUCCAUAUAAUUUUAUUUAGCCAUGUUUUCUGCAGUUUGUGUCGUAUAUUGUGGCGUCUGGAUUAGUCAUCAAGGACAACUAACACUCAUGCUGGUAUCUUCUCAUAAUCACAUACGAAUUUGUGUUCAAAUUGUAGUGCUAUCUUGUUUAUUUGAUUCUUCUUAUUUUCUAUUAGACUGUUGUCCAGACCAAAAAAAAUGUGCUGAUGAGCAGUAAGUGUGCGCAAAGUGGUUCUUACUUCUUAAUGCACUGUGUGUUAACGGUUCAUUUUCUUAUUUUCUUUGUAGGUUCAAAAGAUACAUGGAUGAUUAUAUGGGUGCAUGACAAGUACACUGCAAUGUGAUGAUGAUGAUGAUCUUCCAGUUCAUGAUGAUGAUGAUGGAUGCUUUCAGUUUUAGUUAAGUUGUAGGGAUGUUGUUCCUAUUCGAUGAUGUUCCUCGGUUAUGUUUUAGUUAAGUAUGAGGGAUGUUGAUGAAUGCUUUUAGUUUAAGUUUCUUUCUCGAGAAAAUAUUAAGAUAUGCAUCACAUUUGGAUGCUCUUCCUCCUGUAAUAUCCACUACUGUAAUCCAACAAUUUUAUCCAAUAUAUGAUUUCUUCCUCUUGUGAGUAUAUUUUCUUGUCUUUUCCUAGCUUGAUAUACAUAAUUAUCACCAUUAUGUGGAGCAUUAAUUCAAUUGCUGUUAUAUACAUAUAUUAUUAUUAUUAUUAUUAUUAUUCACACUAUAUAUGUACAAACACCUAAAGCGUGGCAAAUUAUCUAUUGCCAAACAAUGAGAUUUGGAUUCUGGUAUAUUGAGCACUGAUGACCCACAAGUAUAGGGGAUCUAUCGUAGUCGUUUCGAUAAGUAAGAGUGUCGAACCCAACGAGGAGCAGAAGGAAAUGACAAGCGGUUUUCAGUAAGGUAUUCUCUGCAAACAUUGAAAUUAU
This 2079-nucleotide long non-coding RNA is filed under the name Triticum aestivum (bread wheat). RNAcentral's name for it is "long non-coding RNA (TAES_LNC024567)". Lineage: Eukaryota; Viridiplantae; Streptophyta; Magnoliopsida; Poales; Poaceae. The record is from RNAcentral.